UGGGGAAUUUUGGACAAUGGGCGCAAGCCUGAUCCAGCAAUGCCGCGUGCAGGAUGAAGGCCUUCGGGUUGUAAACUGCUUUUGUACGGAGCGAAAAGGUCUGCCCUAAUACGGUGGGCUCAUGACGGUACCGUAAGAAUAAGCACCGGCUAACUACGUGCCAGCAGCCGCGGUAAUACGUAGGGUGCGAGCGUUAAUCGGAAUUACUGGGCGUAAAGCGUGCGCAGGCGGUCUUGUAAGACAGUCGUGAAAGCCCCGGGCUCAACCUGGGAACUGCAUUUGAAACUGGCAGGCUUGAGUCUUGUAGAGGGGGGUAGAAUUCCACGUGUAGCAGUGAAAUGCGUAGAUAUGUGGAGGAACACCGAUGGCGAAGGCAGCCCCUUGGGUCAAGAUUGACGCUCAUGCACGAAAGCGUGGGGAGCAAAC
This 426-nucleotide ribosomal RNA is filed under the name uncultured bacterium. RNAcentral describes it as "bacterial SSU rRNA". It matches the Rfam family "Bacterial small subunit ribosomal RNA", at positions 355 to 773 of the family's 1533-position model. The record is from RNAcentral.